This 380-nucleotide ribosomal RNA is filed under the name uncultured eukaryote. RNAcentral's name for it is "partial 18S ribosomal RNA". It matches the Rfam family "Eukaryotic small subunit ribosomal RNA", at positions 592 to 976 of the family's 1831-position model. The record is from RNAcentral.
CAAUAGCGUAUAUUAAAGUUGUUGCAGUUAAAAAGCUCGUAGUUGGAUUUGUGGCUGUCACGGGCGGCCUAUCACUUAGUGUUAGUGCUUGCCUGUGUCGCCAUCCUUGGGUGGAGCCCGUGUGGCAUUAGGUUGUCGUGCGGGGGAUGCCCAUCGUUUACUGUGAGAAAAUUAGAGUGUUCAAAGCAGGCUUAUGCCGUUGAAUAUGCUAGCAUGGAAUAAUAAGAUAGGACCUCGGUACUAUUUUGUUGGUUUGCGCACCGAGGUAAUGAUUAAUAGGGACAGUUGGGGGUAUUCGUAUUUCAUUGUCAGAGGUGAAAUUCUUGGAUUUCUGAAAGACGAACUACUGCGAAAGCAUUUACCAAGGAUGUUUUCAUUAA